Molecule: ribosomal RNA, 460 nt
Filed under: uncultured bacterium
Lineage: Bacteria
Description: partial 16S ribosomal RNA
Rfam family: Bacterial small subunit ribosomal RNA
Source: RNAcentral
CCUACGGGAGGCAGCAGUGAGGAAUAUUGGUCAAUGGGCGUAAGCCUGAACCAGCCAAGUCGCGUGAGGGAUGAAGGUCCUACGGAUCGUAAACCUCUUUUAUCAGGGAACAAUGUGUGGGACGUGUCCUGUUUUGUAUGUACCUCAUGAAUAAGGCUCGGCCAACCCCGUGCCCGCAGCCGUCGUAAUACGGAGGAGACGAGCGUUACUCGGAUUUAUUGGGUUUAAAGGGUGCGUAGGUGGCCUUUUAAGUCCGCGGUGAAAGUUUGGGGUUCAAACAUAGGAUUGCCGUUGAAACUGGGAGGCUUGAGUAUGUGUGAGGCAGGCGGAAUGUGUGGUGUAGCGGUGAAAUGCAUAGAUAUCACGCAGAACCCCGAUUGCGAAGGCAGCCUGCCAAGGCAUGACUGACGCUGAUGCACGAAAGCGUGGGGAUCGAACAGGAUUAGAUACCCUAGUAGUC